UAGCAAGGUUAACCGAAUAGGGGAGCCGAAGGGAAACCGAGUCUUAACUGGGCGUUAAGUUGCAGGGUAUAGACCCGAAACCCGGUGAUCUAGCCAUGGGCAGGUUGAAGGUUGGGUAACACUAACUGGAGGACCGAACCGACUAAUGUUGAAAAAUUAGCGGAUGACUUGUGGCUGGGGGUGAAAGGCCAAUCAAACCGGGAGAUAGCUGGUUCUCCCCGAAAGCUAUUUAGGUAGCGCCUCGUGAAUUCAUCUCCGGGGGUAGAGCACUGUUUCGGCAAGGGGGUCAUCCCGACUUACCAACCCGAUGCAAACUGCGAAUACCGGAGAAUGUUAUCACGGGAGACACACGGCGGGUGCUAACGUCCGUCGUGAAGAGGGAAACAACCCAGACCGCCAGCUAAGGUCCCAAAGUCAUGGUUAAGUGGGAAACGAUGUGGGAAGGCCCAGACAGCCAGGAUGUUGGCUUAGAAGCAGCCAUCAUUUAAAGAAAGCGUAAUAGCUCACUGGUCGAGUCGGCCUGCGCGGAAGAUGUAACGGGGCUAAACCAUGCACCGAAGCUGCGGCAGCGACGCUGAUGCGUUGUUGGGUAGGGGAGCGUUCUGUAAGCCUGUGAAGGUGUGCUGUGAGGCAUGCUGGAGGUAUCAGAAGUGCGAAUGCUGACAUAAGUAACGAUAAAGCGGGUGAAAAGCCCGCUCGCCGGAAGACCAAGGGUUCCUGUCCAACGUUAAUCGGGGCAGGGUGAGUCGACCCCUAAGGCGAGGCCGAAAGGCGUAGUCGAUGGGAAACAGGUUAAUAUUCCUGUACUUGGUGUUACUGCGAAGGGGGGACGGAGAAGGCUAUGUUGGCCGGGCGACGGUUGUCCCGGUUUAAGCGUGUAGGCUGGUUUUCCAGGCAAAUCCGGAAAAUCAAGGCU
RNAcentral lists this ribosomal RNA (916 nucleotides) under Escherichia coli. RNAcentral describes it as "partial 23S ribosomal RNA". It matches the Rfam family "Bacterial large subunit ribosomal RNA", at positions 638 to 1557 of the family's 2925-position model. Lineage: Bacteria; Pseudomonadati; Pseudomonadota; Gammaproteobacteria; Enterobacterales; Enterobacteriaceae. The record is from RNAcentral.